This is a non-coding RNA of Lonchura striata (white-rumped munia), 200 nucleotides long. The record is from RefSeq and is a predicted model, not a curated record. Lineage: Eukaryota; Metazoa; Chordata; Aves; Passeriformes; Estrildidae.
AAAGCUGUGAUCCUGCUAUAGAACCUUGGUUUUCCUGCUUCUGAAACAAAGUUAAACAGGUGGGAAUCCUGUGGAGCUUUUUUUCACUGUGAAGUUCUGAAAGUGUCUUUGCAAAGGAAGUUUUCAUCCUGGCUUAGGGCCUGAUGUUAUCAGGGGAGGAGCAGCCUCCAUUUUUCCCAGUCUCUGCAGGAAGACCUGCC